GACGAACGCUGGCGGCGUGCUUAACACAUGCAAGUCGAGCGGUAAGGCCCUUUCGGGGGUACACGAGCGGCGAACGGGUGAGUAACACGUGGGUGACCUGCCCUUAGCUCUGGGAUAAGCCUGGGAAACUGGGUCUAAUACCGGAUAUGACUCCAUGACGCAUGUUGUGGGGUGGAAAGCCUCGUGCGGCUGAGGAUGGGCCCGCGGCCUAUCAGCUUGUUGGUGGGGUGAUGGCCACCAAGGCGACGACGGGUAGCCGGCCUGAGAGGGCGACCAGCCACACUGGGACUGAGACACGGCCCAGACUCCUACGGGAGGCAGCAGUGGGGAAUCUUGCGCAAUGGGCGAAAGCCUGACGCAGCGACGCCGCGUGAGGGAUGACGGCCUGG
Molecule: ribosomal RNA, 389 nt
Filed under: uncultured bacterium
Lineage: Bacteria
Description: bacterial SSU rRNA
Rfam family: Bacterial small subunit ribosomal RNA
Source: RNAcentral